Molecule: ribosomal RNA, 255 nt
Filed under: uncultured Sphingomonas sp.
Lineage: Bacteria; Pseudomonadati; Pseudomonadota; Alphaproteobacteria; Sphingomonadales; Sphingomonadaceae
Description: partial 16S ribosomal RNA
Rfam family: Bacterial small subunit ribosomal RNA
Source: RNAcentral
GAGACCUUCGGGUCUAGUGGCGCACGGGUGUGUAACGCGUGGGAAUCUGCCCUUGGGUUCGGGAUAACAGUUGGAAACGACUGCUAAUACCGGAUGAUGACUUCGGUCCAAAGAUUUAUCGCCCAGGGAUGAGCCCGCGUAGGAUUAGCUAGUUGGUGAGGUAAAGGCUCACCAAGGCGACGAUCCUUAGCUGGUCUGAGAGGAUGAUCAGCCACACUGGGACUGAGACACGGCCCAGACUCCUACGGGAGGCAG